GCAAUUCACAAGGAUAAUAACAAAAAAAUAAUAAAUACUAAAUAUAAAAUUAGGUGUUUUACAACGCCUAUCGACCACCUCCUAGUCCACCGUUUUUACGAUUCUUUCAUCACCUCUAUCACUACAUCUUAUAUUUUCAACCAAAUCCACCACUAUCACCUCCUAAACAAUUGGUUUUGAUCGAUUUCACCAGAUUCAAUUGCGAAACUCAAAUUUAGUGAUGAAUCAAAGAGAAACUAAUCUCCUUAACCUGAUCCCGAGCACCAGAUUCGUUAGUUUCACUCCGAUUUUCAAUUGAAUUGUGCAUGAUUUCAUUUUUAAACCCUAAUUUUGGGUUUCAAAUUUGUAUUUUUUUAGAUGAUUAUGAUGACGACGGUGGUGGUGGCGGCGGAAAAUUAUGCUCUAAUGAUAAUGGUGGCGGCAAUCGAAGAGGAUAUCGAAUUUAUGUUCUAUUAAUUGACGAUGGUGGAGGUACUGGUACUUCAAGUUGCUUGUUAAGCGAUCAAAUUCCAGGCUGGUGUGGUGUUACGGUGGAUUGUGUUGAAUGGUUAGUAUGAACGGUGGUGGAUAUUGCUGGUGGUGGGAGCUCUCUAAGUGUAGAUUAUAUACUUGGUUAAUGUUAGUUCUGUUUUCUUUUUGAUUAGUUGGGACUUGAGAACUAGUGAUAAGAGCAUAAAUCUAGUGAAAAGGCUUGAGAUGAUAAUUGGACUUGAUUUUUAUUAUGGUGGUGUGUGGUGGUGGGGCAGUAGUAUGUAUGGUGGUGGGGUAGUAGCAUGUGUGGUAGUGGGGGUGGUUGGUGUUGUGUUUUUGGUAGUGUUAAUUGGAUUACAGUUCCUUCUUUGUUUGAUUUUAAACGGUGAUGGAAGAGGUAGAAUGUAGUGGAUUGCAAGUAAUACUAACAGUUCCUAUGUAUAUGCAUUUUUCUGUAAUGGUAAUUGGCAGAGUGGGAAGACCAAUAGGAAACUAAUAAAGUUGAGCAGCAGUGGGAAGAUAUGGAUUGUAGUUGGAACAAAUGAGACGGGAAUGUUUAUGAAUGAAGAGAGUGAAACCGAGGUACAUGAGCUUGCAGGUGAUAGAGGGAGUAAAUUUGUGUUUCCACCACAAUAGAGUUGUCCUCGGCUAGUCCACAGUGGUGGCGGCAGCAACGAAGGGGGCGACAGCGGCAGUGGGUGCGACGACGGCGGUGGUGGCGGCGACGGUGUAGUAGUGGUGGUCCUGGCGCGUGGUGGCGUUGGCGGACUGGCGGUGGUGGCGGCGGUGGCGA
Papaver somniferum (opium poppy) is the source of this 1264-nucleotide long non-coding RNA. RefSeq lists it as uncharacterized. The transcript has 3 exons. The record is from RefSeq and is a predicted model, not a curated record. NCBI's taxonomy places the organism in Eukaryota, Viridiplantae, Streptophyta, Magnoliopsida, Ranunculales, Papaveraceae.